Ornithodoros turicata is the source of this 322-nucleotide long non-coding RNA. RefSeq lists it as uncharacterized. The transcript is spliced from 4 exons. Lineage: Eukaryota; Metazoa; Arthropoda; Arachnida; Ixodida; Argasidae. The record is from RefSeq and is a predicted model, not a curated record.
AGUUCGCGACAGUGAAGGCUCGAUUUUGGUAUGCUUGGUGUCGCGCUUUUAGUACGUUUUGUUAGCGGUGCUUUAAUGUGACCGUUGACGCUUCUGUGGUGGCGAGGUGCGCGUUGCCGGGCAAUUGCAUUUCAAGAGACAACGUUCCCCAACGGGGUUUGUUGGGUUGCCAGUUCGUAUUCUCCGUGUCGUCCGUCUUCAUCCACUCAUCAAUGAAGCUCUGAGCUGAACGCAAGUAUAGGAACGCUCCCUGGACCAAGGGAAGAGUGCACGGACAACAAACAAGAAGGUACCUGAACUUGAAAUACACGUGGUGGAGAAG